Mesocricetus auratus (golden hamster) is the source of this 1458-nucleotide long non-coding RNA. RefSeq lists it as uncharacterized. The transcript is spliced from 2 exons. NCBI's taxonomy places the organism in Eukaryota, Metazoa, Chordata, Mammalia, Rodentia, Cricetidae. The record is from RefSeq and is a predicted model, not a curated record.
GCUGGCCUGGCAGGGAGCCCGGCCUCGCAGAGAGGACUCGGGGCCGGCCUUCGUGAACAAUGGGCAGGCGGCUGCGAAGGCCGCCCCUCAGACAGCUGGCUUUCAGCCGGGCUUUGCCGGGUCUGCUAACUGGAAAGUGAGGCAUGCAGAGGCGAGCUGGAGACCCGGGGCAGCGGCGGAGAGGAGCGGCCCGGGGCGGCAGAGGCGAGCCCGCUGGCAGCACAGUCCCUGACCUGCGCCGCUCCGGCCAAGCCUCGAGCACUGACAGCUACACGAUCUCUGCUGGCGAGUUGGAGCAAAGAGGGAUCACCGAGCUUGGGGACGAACUGGGAAGAGGGGUGGAAUCCAGGUUACCUCGGUGGCCCGGCUCGGCAGCUCUUAACUUUGGAGGGGUCCGGAGGUUCAUUUCCGAAAAGGGGAGAAAGACUACACCGACCAUGGGGAAAGCCGCUGCGCCAUGCCUACUCGCCACUGGAGUCCGGUACCCUCGCCCCGAAACAUCUGCACUAAUCUAGGAAACCGAGGUAAGAAGACUGGAUCAGAACCCACGAGGCACAUCUUUACUGGCAAUGCAAGCACAGAAAACUGCUAAUCUGAUGUGAACUUGGAACUAUGAUUGGCGCUACACAUUCAUGAACCUGUGUUUCUGCAAAUGUAUUACAGAACCGUUAGAGAAAGAAUUGACAAUUUCUGCACUUGGAAUCUUGAGUCAGAUUGUGUUCCCUGGAUAACUUCAUUGUAAAAGUAUAACUGUGGGUAGAAACAAUAGCAUAAAUCCCUCUCUUCGGAAGACUCCUCUACCACCCCUACACACAGCACCCAAGCCUCCCCUUAUAUAAUUAGUCCUCAUUUUCCCCCUUGUUAUCCCUGCUAAUCAUUAUGAUAGACACAGGCCCAAUCUGCUGUAAAUUCCUCAAGUGCAUUUUUGUGUUUUUUUUUCAUCUUGACCUUAAUUUGGGCCUGCUUUACUUAGAAAACACAUCAGAGAACAGAUGGAAGACCAGAGUGGUCUUCUCUAGAUAUUUAUUACCUAUAGACCCUUCCUAUAGAUAUUUGUUAUCAACCAGAAUUGAUUAGUGUACCCUAAAAAACCUUAAAGUUUUCUUAUGUAAUGUUUGAAAUGAGUGUUCAUCUUGAACAAGCUUUGUGCUCUAGCUAAAGGUGAAGAUUAAAAUAUAAUUAUGAUGUUGAACACAUGCUAGGAACUAUCUCAUUUAGUAUUCAUAAAACACCACAAAGCUACUUUUGUUAUCCCCAAGUCGCAUAGGAAGCUGAAUCUUAUACAAGUUGCUAAGAAGUAUUGGGAUGUGCACUCAUAACUUCCUGUGCAAUUCCAGCUCUGGAAUUUUAAAUACUAUGCUAAUCUGACUUAAAUGAAUUCCUGUAACAAUCUAUGUUUUACCUAAUCUAAGGCCCAUAUUUUCACAGAUCUAAGAUUAAAAUGCAUUUUACCUUGAA